AAGGAACUUGUUUCCUCGAAUAACUUCUGGCACAGACAUCUGAGGGCAUGGCCGUUCAUGAAGAAAAUGUAGCCAUUGGUGCCAUCUAUUGACCACAAGUUAAAGAUUGGCGAUCCGUUGGGUCCCGACCGAGUUAUAGGCAAAAUUUGGUGCAAAAAUGGGCCUUAUGAAAUUUUCAAGUUUUUAGAUUUUUUACAUUUUUUUAUUAUUUUUCACUCUUUUUUUUUGUUUAAAGCAUUGGUUGAGUGAAAACAAACUCAUUGCAACCAAUUGGCAUUAAAAUAAAUCAAUUUAAAUUGUUUUGCAAAAUUUCUCAAAAAAAUGGCAAGGGGUACCCCUUAUGAAAUUUUCGAGUUGAAAAUUUUUUGAAAUUUUUUUUCUCAUUUUUUAUUCUUUUUUUAAUUUACAGGAUUAUUUGAGUGAAAAUAAACUCAUUGCAACAAAUUCCCAUUAAAAUAUAUCACAUUUAUAAAUUUUGCUACAUUGGUGAAAAAUGAGGAAAAUUUUACAUUUUUUCAAACAGGGUAAGGAACUUGGUUCCUCGAAUAACUUCUGGCACAGAUAUCUUAGGGCAUGGCCGUCCAAAAAGACAAUGUAGCCAUUGGUGCCAUCUAUCGACCACAAGUUAAAAAUUGGCGAUCCGUUGGAUACCGACCGAGUUAUAGGUAAAACUUGGUGCAAAAAUUAGGAAAAUUUUACAUUUUCACAAACAGGGUAAGGAACUUGUUUCCUCGAAUAACUUCUGGCACAGACAUCUGAGGGCAUGGCCGUUCAUGAAGAAAAUGUAGCCAUUGGUGCCAUCUAUUGACCACAAGUUAAAGAUUGGCGAUCCGUUGGGUCCCGACCGAGUUAUAGGCAAAAUUUGGUGCAAAAAUGGGCCUUAUGAAAUUUUCAAGUUUUUAGAUUUUUUACAUUUUUUUAUUAUUUUUCACUCUUUUUUUUUGUUUAAAGCAUUGGUUGAGUGAAAACAAACUCAUUGCAACCAAUUGGCAUUAAAAUAAAUCAAUUUAAAUUGUUUUGCAAAAUUUCUCAAAAAAAUGGCAAGGGGUACCCCUUAUGAAAUUUUCGAGUUGAAAAUUUUUUGAAAUUUUUUUUCUCAUUUUUUAUUCUUUUUUUUAAUUUACAGGAUUAUUUGAGUGAAAAUAAACUCAUUGCAACAAAUUCCCAUUAAAAUAUAUCACAUUUAUAAAUUUUGCUACAUUGGUGAAAAAUGAGGAAAAUUUUACAUUUUUUCAAACAGGGUAAGGAACUUGGUUCCUCGAAUAACUUCUGGCACAGAUAUCUUAGGGCAUGGCCGUCCAAAAAGACAAUGUAGCCAUUGGUGCCAUCUAUCGACCACAAGUUAAAAAUUGGCGAUCCGUUUGAUACCGACCGAGUUAUAGGUAAAACUUGGUGCAAAAAUUAGGAAAAUUUUACAUUUUCACAAACAGGGUAAGGAACUUGUUUCCUCGAAUAACUUCUGGCACAGACAUCUGAGGGCAUGGCCGUUCAUGAAGAAAAUGUAGCCAUUGGUGCCAUCUAUUGACCACAAGUUAAAGAUUGGCGAUCCGUUGGGUCCCGACCGAGUUAUAGGCAAAAUUUGGUGCAAAAAUGGGCCUUAUGAAAUUUUCAAGUUUUUAGAUUUUUUACAUUUUUUUAUUAUUUUUCACUCUUUUUUUUUGUUUAAAGCAUUGGUUGAGUGAAAACAAACUCAUUGCAACCAAUUGGCAUUAAAAUAAAUCAAUUUAAAUUGUUUUGCAAAAUUUCUCAAAAAAAUGGCAAGGGGUACCCCUUAUGAAAUUUUCGAGUUGAAAAUUUUUUGAAAUUUUUUUUCUCAUUUUUUAUUCUUUUUUUAAUUUACAGGAUUAUUUGAGUGAAAAUAAACUCAUUGCAACAAAUUCCCAUUAAAAUAUAUCACAAUUAUAAAUUUUGCUACAUUGGUGAAAAAUGAGGAAAAUUUUACAUUUUUUCAAACAGGGUAAGGAACUUGGUUCCUCGAAUAACUUCUGGCACAGAUAUCUUAGGGCAUGGCCGUCCAAAAAGACAAUGUAGCCAUUGGUGCCAUCUAUCGACCACAAGUUAAAAAUUGGCGAUCCGUUGGAUACCGACCGAGUUAUAGGUAAAAGUUGGUGCAAAAAUUAGGAAAAUUUUACAUUUUCUCAAACAGGGUAUGGAACAUGGUUCCUCGAAUAACUUCUGGCACAGACAUCUGAGGGCAUGGCCGUUCAUGAAGAAAAUGUAGCCAUUGGUGCCAUCUAUUGACCACAAGUUAAAGAUUGGCGAUCCGUUGGGUACCGACCGAGUUAUAGGCAAAAUUUGGUGCAAAAAUGGGCCUU
Long non-coding RNA from Anopheles funestus (African malaria mosquito), 2315 nucleotides. RefSeq lists it as uncharacterized. NCBI's taxonomy places the organism in Eukaryota, Metazoa, Arthropoda, Insecta, Diptera, Culicidae. The transcript is spliced from 3 exons. The record is from RefSeq and is a predicted model, not a curated record.